RNAcentral lists this unclassified non-coding RNA (320 nucleotides) under Hevea brasiliensis (rubber tree). The record is from RNAcentral. Lineage: Eukaryota; Viridiplantae; Streptophyta; Magnoliopsida; Malpighiales; Euphorbiaceae.
UGUUUGGAUUUGGCUUACUCUUGGCAAAGAAGCCAAACUUGUUUGAGAGUAUCUGUUUAGCCAGUUCAGGGGAAGUGAUACAGAUCCUCGGCAUCGGUCCGAACCAGUACAAGAAAGGUUCUCCAUGUUGAGACAACCACUUGACGUAGUGAGGCAUAAUCCUUGGAAUGAAAUUAUGUGUGUGGUUCUCCAUGACCAUCUCUCUUCCUACCUUCUUCAUGCUCCUGAUCUCCUCAAGCGAUCCUGACCAGAACUUGUAUCGAGGGCCUUCCAACCCUUGCUUCUUGAAGCUCCUUGUGAUGAGAUAGGGCUUUAAGAUG